Molecule: long non-coding RNA, 329 nt
Filed under: Gallus gallus (chicken)
Lineage: Eukaryota; Metazoa; Chordata; Aves; Galliformes; Phasianidae
Source: RNAcentral
CUGCUUCUCACAGAAAUGCACGUGAUGUUUGAGCACCCACUGCCUUUUCUCUCCACAGAAGGAUGGCCAAGUAGCUGAUUAAGGACGUGCUUCGUUUGGCGUACUUGGUGAGGAGUAAUGGAGCUGGAGCACGAGAGAUGUGGCAAUCACUGGCAAGUGCUGUAGCUGGACGAGGCCCUUGGCUCUCCCUGCUGCUGCUUCUGGAGGUAUGUAAGCUCAAGUAGGAAAGAGUGACUUUUGUGUGGUUUAUAGUGUGGCUGUUGUAUCUGAGGCAAGGGAAGGCUAUUUCAAGAUGGACCAUGUUGAUGGGUGGGGUCUGGGACGACGGC